This 251-nucleotide ribosomal RNA is filed under the name uncultured prokaryote. Its description in RNAcentral is "partial 16S rRNA". It matches the Rfam family "Bacterial small subunit ribosomal RNA", at positions 525 to 775 of the family's 1533-position model. The record is from RNAcentral.
ACGGAGGGUGCAAGCGUUGUUCGGAAUUACUGGGCGUAAAGAGCGUGUAGGCGGUUGAUUAAGUCAGUUGUGAAAGCCCUUGGCUCAACCAAGGAAGUGCAUCUGAAACUGACCGACUUGAGUACGGGAGAGGAGAGUGGAAUUCCUGGUGUAGAGGUGAAAUUCGUAGAUAUCAGGAGGAACACCGGUGGCGAAGGCGACUCUCUGGACCGAUACUGACGCUGAGACGCGAAAGCGUGGGGAGCAAACAG